CCGCCAUGUUGGCUUCACUUUUUGAGCUCGAGUCAGCCUUCCAUAUGUUAGUUCAGUUCUGCAGUGUUUACAACGGCCAGUUCCAGCUCUGUAUGUGUCUACUCUGUGUCACUGAUCUCAAAGUUUGACCUGAAGUGUUACAUUUCCAAAUUCUAUUAAGCCUGGUUCACAUUACAUAUAUGCCUGCGACGUGCCGGCGACGAUGCCGGUGGUAGCUUAAAACGUAAAUUAUGUGAAUAUUUGUUCGCCGAUUGCCUCCAGUGCCACAGUUACAUCGGCGGUAGGCCGGGAAAGUUGACUUGAGUUCAACUUUACCGGUAUUUCGGCGGCAAGUAGAGGCAUAAUGAUACAGUCGCAGGCAUACCGCAGGCAUAUG
This is a non-coding RNA of Paramuricea clavata, 376 nucleotides long. The record is from the annotation of a GenBank genome assembly. Lineage: Eukaryota; Metazoa; Cnidaria; Anthozoa; Malacalcyonacea; Plexauridae.